ACGAUGAAGCGGGCCCCGUUUCAGGUCGCGGUGCUUUGCAGAGUUCUCCGGGGGUUGCGCAUCAACCACAACCUGAAUAGGCUGAUGGCCGAAAGAAAAUGCG
This 103-nucleotide small RNA is filed under the name Candidatus Alectryocaccomicrobium excrementavium. RNAcentral describes it as "drum RNA". It matches the Rfam family "drum RNA". Rfam says of the family: Firmicutes, Bacteroidetes (1 example), Proteobacteria (2 examples), Spirochaetes (2 examples). Terminator (Clostridia) Lineage: Bacteria; Bacillati; Bacillota; Clostridia. The record is from RNAcentral.